Molecule: long non-coding RNA, 398 nt
Filed under: Crocodylus porosus (Australian saltwater crocodile)
Lineage: Eukaryota; Metazoa; Chordata; Crocodylia; Crocodylidae
Description: lncRNA (ENSCPRG00005011588.1)
Source: RNAcentral
CUAGCAUAAGCAAAGGCAUCAGAAUCUGGUUCUUCCUAGCAUUAUGGAGCCUGACAAGAAAAGAAAUUAGGCAAAAACCAGUCCAUAUUACCUAGGGACUGCAGAUUCCGUUACAAAGAUCGGUACUUCGUGUAGCUAUUUACAACCGUGCUUCAUAGCAGAGCUAGAAGAUAGAAUUCACUUGGAGAUUAAAAGCUUGAAGACACCUUGAGUAACAACUACUUCCUCUGGGGCUGAUUGAAAGUUAGAAGAAUAUCAUACCUUGACAUGACGCUUGCCCACACUAGGAAGCCUGUUAUUCAGGAAACCUUUGGAUGGUAAGUAAUAACGGAAAGUAGUCAUUUUACUACAUCAUUUGUGUUGGACGUGACACCAAGGUCAGAGGCCACAACUUUAGU